Molecule: ribosomal RNA, 253 nt
Filed under: uncultured bacterium
Lineage: Bacteria
Also listed under: 1 other name
Description: partial 16S ribosomal RNA
Rfam family: Bacterial small subunit ribosomal RNA
Source: RNAcentral
UACGUAGGGUGCAAGCGUUAAUCGGAAUUACUGGGCGUAAAGCGUGCGCAGGCGGUUAUAUAAGUCAGAUGUGAAAUCCCCGGGCUCAACCUGGGAACUGCAUUUGAGACUGUAUGGCUAGAGUGUGUCAGAGGGGGGUAGAAUUCCACGUGUAGCAGUGAAAUGCGUAGAUAUGUGGAGGAAUACCGAUGGCGAAGGCAGCCCCCUGGGAUAACACUGACGCUCAUGCACGAAAGCGUGGGGAGCAAACAGG